This 236-nucleotide long non-coding RNA is filed under the name Pan troglodytes (chimpanzee). Its description in RNAcentral is "long non-coding RNA NONPTRT010032". The record is from RNAcentral. Lineage: Eukaryota; Metazoa; Chordata; Mammalia; Primates; Hominidae.
AUCUUGGAUAGGCCCUUGAAGAGCAGUAGGUCAACUAGAAGUGCUCAGCUGAAGUGCUGAGGGGUUCAGAGCCAAGCCCAAGGGUAAUCUUCCAUUAAGCUUGGCCCCACUAUCAUCCUUCCCGCUGAACUGUUUCCUCCUCUGGACUUUACAUGAAUGACCACACACCCAUCCCAGAGAGCAGUGUCACCCCAGAACUCCUCAUCAGCUCCCACAUCACAGAUCCUUCUCCCUCC